AAAGACGUGCGCAGGCGGUUUGUUAAGACAGUGGUGAAAUCCCGGGACUCAACCUGGGAACUGCCAUUGUGACUGCAAGGCUAGAGUGCGGCAGAGGGGGGAUGGGAAUUCCGCGUGUAGCAGUGAAAUGCGUAGAUAUGCGGAGGAACACCGAUGGCGAAGGCAAUCCCCCUGGGCCUGCACUGACGCUCAUGCACGAAAGCGUGGGGGAGCAAACAGGAUUAGAUACCCCUGGUAG
Molecule: ribosomal RNA, 238 nt
Filed under: uncultured bacterium
Lineage: Bacteria
Description: partial 16S ribosomal RNA
Rfam family: Bacterial small subunit ribosomal RNA
Source: RNAcentral